AUUAGUAUCAACAACCUUUUGCGCAAGAAUCAAUUCGUAAAGAUCUUUAUGGAAAUGAAUUGAAGUUUCUCGAUAAAAUUUAUGGUGACAGAACCUACAAAUUUUACCGAGUUAACAAACAAAGAAUCAUGGCUCUAAUCAACAAAGCUGGCUGUAAAAUCAGAAAUGUUGUUUGGGAAGCGUGGAAAGAGUGGCUAGGUAGCUCUGAAUCUGAAUCUAGCAAGAGUUGUAUGGUUUGUAAAAAUACAAAUUAGCUAUUCAGAAUGUGGAGGCAUUGAGAUUGAAGAGAGCUGGGACAAGGUUAGUUGGUCCAAAACGUUUACUCUUUUCGCUUAUCUUAAAACUAUUUGUUAGUAUUUUUGGCAAAACUGGUUACUCUACUCAUUCUGGUAAUAUCUAGGAAGUCAAGUUAUUUUCUUUUCUCCUGUAAUAACAAGAUUUUCUUUUCUCCUCUUAUUUCUUUCCUCUAUCAUAAAUUCCAUUAUGAAAUAGGAACAUUUAAUAUAAUUCAUUUGAACUAUAUAAGAUAAUUUUUAGCUUAAUUCAGAAAACUGAAUAUAUGCAAUUGUUGUUAGUAGAUAGAAUAUUGAUUCUAGAAUACAAUCCUAUGCUACUCAAUAUGGAAGAGUCUACCUGUGUUCUAUAACUGAGAAACUACUGUUAAUGGACUGUGGUUAUGGAAUGACACCUUAAUCUGGUUCAAGAUUUGCAAAACAAAUCGGUAGGCAGGUAAAAGAAUGUUAGUUUAGUUUUUCCAACAAUCUUUCACUACCUUCUUAAUUCAAUUAUGAAGUAUAGCGUUGUAAUUUGUAUAUCAAUGUGUUGUUUCUGUUCCUAUCAGUUUAUCGUGCUGUUAUGCUGUUUUUGUUCUGUUCCUUUGAGUCGAGAUCAAACAUAAUCUCAUAUUAGUAAAUAUGUAAGAACGUACUUGAGGGGAGGCAGACUGUUUGGUGUUAGAGUAUUUAAGUAAUCUUCCUGAUAGUAGUUGUUUGUAUCAUCCUCUGCAGAGUCGAAACUAAGAAACAUUCUGUUUAAAUAAACAUAAAAAAGCAAAAAGAAUAAAUUGCUUAGGUUUAUUAAACACGUGAGGUAUGAAAGAAUAAUAUUACCUCCUCCUCAACUAAAUUAAACUAAAUUAAGUUGGCACACCAAGUAAUAUUGUGUUUAAAUUAACAAUGUAAAAAGAGAGAGAUGAUAUAACGAUCAAAAACCUGGAAAUAAAAUUGUUGAAAUUGUGAUAAAACGAAAAAAAAUUAAUGAAAGAUGCAACUGUUUAUGACGAUGAACAAUGAGAAAAGCUCAAGGGUUUAUAUAGAAGGACAGAAGGUACAAACCAAGACAAAUUUGGAUGUAUUUUUUGGUGAAACCAAGUAGGCGUGUAUGUUUUUGGUUGAAAAAAAUCAAGUAGGAAUCAAAUUGGAUUAAAAAAAAAAAGA
This is a long non-coding RNA of Capsicum annuum, 1436 nucleotides long. RefSeq lists it as uncharacterized. The record is from RefSeq and is a predicted model, not a curated record. The transcript is spliced from 2 exons. Lineage: Eukaryota; Viridiplantae; Streptophyta; Magnoliopsida; Solanales; Solanaceae.